Molecule: long non-coding RNA, 2562 nt
Organism: Felis catus (domestic cat)
Lineage: Eukaryota; Metazoa; Chordata; Mammalia; Carnivora; Felidae
Exons: 5
Source: RefSeq, a predicted model, not a curated record
GUCCCCGGGAACCCUGGGGCUGAGCCUUCGGGGCGCGGUGGGGGAGGUCUCCUAGUGGGCGCCCGCGCUGCAGAUGUCUAGAGCUUUGGUGGACGGUGACGCUGGGGCGGCGAGCUGGCCCAGACUAGGGUGGAUCUUUUAUCUCUAAUAUCUUCCACCGUGUCCCGGAACACUGGAUGGAUAUGAAUUAGAUCAUUGCUACAAAUUACUUGCCUUGAAUCCUACGAUGGUAGGCCUGACAUUUUUGUGGUGGCGGAAUAGGCCAAAUAAAUAAACUUAAAACAAAUUAAAAGCAGUCUUCUGGAGGAGCAGUUCCAGCAGGGCAAGCUUCUUGCAUGCAUCACUUCAAGACCAGGCCAGUGUGGCCAAGCAGAUGGCUAUGUGCUGGAGGGCAAGGAGCUAGAGUUCUAUCCGAGGAAAAUCAAAGCCUGGAAAGUCAGAUGAGGAUUGAAGGAGAUCCUGCCAGGAAAGCCCCCAGGCUGCCCUUCUGCUUUUGCUGGUGGCAUGAAGGUUCCCUCCCGGGGCCUGAGCUUUAGAGGGCCCGGGUGAGGGGUGAAGAAUCUGGGAGCCCGAGGCCUGGAGGUCAGCUCCCCACCCCCAACCCUCCAGGUGAUGAUAAAACAAUGUGAUCGGCUAUAAAAACUCUGUACCCUGGCUGUUCGAGGCUGCACUCUUACCAAGAGUGUUGGUCCCGAUCUGUCCGCCUUGCCUCUCAUUGUAAUAAACUUUGUUGUGACUGUCACUGGUGCCCGUAGCAUUCUGUUUCAGGAGUCGUGUGGAUGCAACAACCUGAGCUGAAAUCAAGAUUUGGACACUUAAGCUCAAUGGACUGAGCCAUCCAGGCUGUCACUCCUGUGAGUCUGUGAGUUGGCACCACCGACUGCCCUGGAUUAUCCAGGCUGGCCCAGCAUAUAACUGAUGAGUCCCUGAAGGCAGAGCACUUCCCUGGCUGGUGGCAGCUGGGCCAUCGGGGAGAUUAGAAACUGGCUGUGAAGAUGGGAGCCUUGUGCAAGGACUGAACAGCAGCUGCAGAGAGACUGAAGCGACCUCGGCUGACAGGAAGGGGGGACCCCAGUCCUGCAAGUUCCCUGCAGGAACUGAGUCCAGCCAACAACCGGAAUGACCUUGGAAGAGGACCACCCGCCCUGAGCGCCAGGUGAGAUCACAGCGGGUAGAGACUUUGACUCAGCCUCCUGUAAAGCACUGAGCAGAGAAGCCCACUGCGCCAUCCUGUGACACUUCUGACACGUGAGAGAAGAAAUGGAUGCUGUUUUCAGGCACGAGGUAGAAAACAAACACGUGGGGCGCCUGGGUGGCUCACUGGGUUGAGCAUCGGACUUCAGCUCGGGUGCUGACAGCUCAGAGCCUGGAGCCUGCUUGGAUUCUGUCUCCCUCUCUCUCUGCCCCUCCCCCACUCAUGCAUGCGCGCGCGCGCGCGCGCUCUCUCUCUCAAAAAUAAAUAAACAUAAAGGAAAAAAGAAAAUGAACCUGUCAGGUUUCUGGAUACAUUCACUGAAUUAAAAACCGGUGGAGGGCAGGAGAGGCUGGCAGAGAAAAAGACCCUGUCAGAUUGUUGAGAGGAUCAGGAAAGUAUUAGAAAGUAUUUCUUUCCUUUUUUUUUUAAGUUUAUUUAUUCUGAGAGAGAGAGAGCCCACGCGAGCAGGGGAGGAGCAGAGAGAGAGGGGGAAAAAGAGAAUCCUAAGCAGGCUCUGCACUGUCAGCAUAGAGUCUGAUGCAGGCCUCGAACUCACAAACCAUGAGAUCAUGACCUGAGUGGAAACUAAGAGUUGGACCCUUAAUUGACUGAGCCACCCAGGCACCCGCAUCUUGCUUUUUUCAAUAGGAGACUGUUCUUAUGAAAUUGUUGGUGUUUCCAUUAGGAUAGAUAGCCUUAAAUUAGUUUAUCAGAUGUCUAGGGGAGGUUGGACAUCUUCGUGAUCUUGAAUCUUCUUAUUCAGGAACACAAGAGGCCUUUCCAUUUCCUCACAUGUUUUGUGUGCUCAGCGUUUACUAUUUGCUUCAUCUUUAUCUUGAGUAUUAAGUGUAUUCCUAGGAGUUUUAUGUCCUUUCUUCCUUUAUUUUCUGAUUAUUGUUGGCAUACGUAAAAGCCACCUUGCUGAAUUCUCUUAUUGUUUAUUUAGAAUAACGUUUUGGCUAAUCCUCUUUGGGGCUUCCAAGUAUAUAAUCAUGUGAUCUGCAAAUGGUGAUGAUUUUACCUACUCUUUUCCUCUUUUACACCUCGAAUCUCUUUCUCUUGUCCAAUUGUGUUAGUUGUUCCUCCAGAAAAGUUAAAGAAUAAAUGUAAGAAGGUAUUGUUUCUUACUUUAAUCAAAGUAAGAAGGCUUCAGGAAGACGACAUUUCAGUUGUUUUUUAAAAGCGUUUAUCUUAUUCUAUUUUGUCAAGAAUGGCUUAAAUAAAAAUAUAUGUUGAAAUGUAUCAAAUACCCUGUUCAUUCAUAUGGUAAAACCUUGGAUGGUGAGUAACUUGUUCUGUGAGUGUUCAGCAAGACUAGCAAACAUUUCUAAUACAUUUUAACUUAAUAAACAAGCAGUGUUUUGCAA